GACGAACGCUGGCGGCGUGCUUAACACAUGCAAGUCGAACGGAAAGGCCCUGCUUUUGUGGGGUGCUCGAGUGGCGAACGGGUGAGUAACACGUGAGUAACCUGCCCUUGACUUUGGGAUAACUUCAGGAAACUGGGGCUAAUACCGGAUAGGAGCUCCUGCUGCAUGGUGGGGGUUGGAAAGUUUCGGCGGUUGGGGAUGGACUCGCGGCUUAUCAGCUUGUUGGUGGGGUAGUGGCUUACCAAGGCUUUGACGGGUAGCCGGCCUGAGAGGGUGACCGGCCAAAUUGGGACUGAGAUACGUCCCAGGCUCCUACGGGAGGCAGCAGUGGGGAAUAUUGAACAAUGGGCGGAAGCCAGAGGCAGGAACGCCGCGUGGGGGAUGACGGCCUUCGGGUUGUAGUCCGCUUACGCCUGUGACGAAGCGUGGGUGACGGUAAUGGGUAAAGAAGCACCGGCUAACUUCGUG
Molecule: ribosomal RNA, 468 nt
Filed under: uncultured bacterium
Lineage: Bacteria
Description: partial 16S ribosomal RNA
Rfam family: Bacterial small subunit ribosomal RNA
Source: RNAcentral